GACGAACGCUGGCGGCGUGCUUAACACAUGCAAGUCGAACGGUAAGGCCCUUUCGGGGGUACACGAGUGGCGAACGGGUGAGUAACACGUGGGUGAUCUGCCCUGCACUUUGGGAUAAGCCUGGGAAACUGGGUCUAAUACCGGAUAGGACUACGCGAUGCAUGUCGUGUGGUGGAAAGCUUUUGCGGUGUGGGAUGGGCCCGCGGCCUAUCAGCUUGUUGGUGGGGUGAUGGCCUACCAAGGCGACGACGGGUAGCCGGCCUGAGAGGGUGUCCGGCCACACUGGGACUGAGAUACGGCCCAGACUCCUACGGGAGGCAGCAGUGGGGAAUAUUGCACAAUGGGCGCAAGCCUGAUGCAGCGACGCCGCGUGGGGGAUGACGGCCUUCGGGUUGUAAACCCCUUGCAGCACAGACGAAGCGUAAGUGACGGUAUGUGCAGAAGAAGCACCGGCCAACUACGUG
RNAcentral lists this ribosomal RNA (464 nucleotides) under uncultured bacterium. RNAcentral describes it as "partial 16S ribosomal RNA". It matches the Rfam family "Bacterial small subunit ribosomal RNA", at positions 28 to 507 of the family's 1533-position model. The record is from RNAcentral.